AACGAACGCUGGCGGCAGGCCUAACACAUGCAAGUCGAACGCUCGUAGCAAUACGGGAGUGGCAGACGGGUGAGUAACACGUGGGAACCUUCCCUAUGGUUCGGAAUAGCUCAGGGAAACUUGGGGUAAUACCGGAUAAGCCCUUCGGGGAAGGAUUCAUCGCCCCUAGACGGGCCCGCGUCGGAUUAGGUAGUUGGUGGGGUAACGGCCUACCAAGCCUACGACCCGUAGCUGAUCUGGGAGGAUGAUCAGCCACACUGGACUGAGACACGGCCCAGACUCCUACGGAGGCAGCAGUGGGGAAUCUUGGACAAUGGGCGCAAGCCUGAUCCAGCCAUGCCGCGUGAGUAGAAGAAGGCCUUAGGGUUGUAAAG
This 374-nucleotide ribosomal RNA is filed under the name uncultured bacterium. RNAcentral's name for it is "bacterial SSU rRNA". It matches the Rfam family "Bacterial small subunit ribosomal RNA", at positions 29 to 430 of the family's 1533-position model. The record is from RNAcentral.